UUGGAGUAACAUAUGCACCAACACCUCUCACACGACCACACUGUUCGGGCUUCCCAAGUGCUUGUGUAAGGACAUCAUCACUUGGUCCACUACUGGUAAACACACCAUCAUGCUUUUGUCGUAGGUAAACAUCCUACAAAGCAAAUUGUUAACAAAGUAAGUAAUAACAAUUAAAUUAAAUAUUUUGCAAUCAUAAAUACUUACAAUCUUUGAAACUGUUUCUGUCAACAUUUCACCCUCAAAUUCCCCUUUCUUGUUUGCUCGUGCUUGCUUCCACAAAAGUGCUCUAUCA
Molecule: long non-coding RNA, 292 nt
Filed under: Salvia miltiorrhiza (redroot sage)
Lineage: Eukaryota; Viridiplantae; Streptophyta; Magnoliopsida; Lamiales; Lamiaceae
Description: long non-coding RNA (SMIL_LNC002794)
Source: RNAcentral